This 1355-nucleotide long non-coding RNA is filed under the name Rattus norvegicus (Norway rat). RNAcentral describes it as "long non-coding RNA NONRATT014678". The record is from RNAcentral. Lineage: Eukaryota; Metazoa; Chordata; Mammalia; Rodentia; Muridae.
AUCACUUGAGCUGCCAAAAAGCUGACAAUCAGCAGUUAUUUCUCUGUUGUCAACUGGUAAUGGGUAAGAAAGGAAAAGGUUUCCUACUUAACAACACCUCUAGUACCAAACAUUCAGGUUUCCACACCAAUUUAGUUGUUUGCAGACACCAACUGGAUGUCCUCCAAUUUCUAUCAAUUUUGCCAUAAUAAACAUCCUACUGGUGAAGUGGGCUCAGUCUGAGAAGACUGCCAGUCUCCUCCCCCUAUAUUCAGACACUAAUGAUGAGUCCUACAUUACUGAUUUGGUUACAAAUUGAACCCUCUGGGUUCAGUAAUUUUCUAUGGUAACUCAUCAAACUUAAAGAGACAAUUUAAAGUUACCAUUUACUCUAAAUUAUAUCGUGAAUGUCACAGGAGCAGCCAGAUGAAGAGAUGAACAAGAUCCAAAGGGUUCCCCAUGUGAAGGUGUGUUUGUCCCCAGAGUCGAGUGCUUCACCUGUUGAGCCUUGCUGUUUAGUGUUUGUAUGAAGAUUACAGUGCGUGCCCAUGACUGAUGAAGGCCUUGGCUGUUAGAUAGGUUUCCCCUUCCAGAAGUCAGCAGGGGUUGUUAAAAGUUCCAACUCUCUUAGCACAUAGUUGGCUCCUUUGACAACUAGCCCCAAUCCUGGAGCUAGCAAGGAGUCUAGCGACAAGUCGCUUUAGCAUAAACAGAUGACGGCAAGAGACCUUAGGAGUAACAAAAGGUUUUAGGUUUUCUUUGUGUGUGUGGUGCUGGAAACUGGAGAGAGACCAAACAUGCUUAAGUCACAGGCAAAAACCCAUUUACUUGGUUCAAAUCCCCUUAAGUCUGGGGAAUUUUGGGUUUGUUUGUCUUUAGUUCAGUAGUAAAUAGGAUAAAAUGAAAACCCAGCUCUGGGGAAGCCAUUAGCUCUAGGAGCAAAGAUGAACCCUGGGCAGUGUAGACUAUUAGUGCUUUUCCAUAUAGCAGUUCUUUCCAAAAUGUCUUCAUUUAAGAGUUGUGUAAUGGCUAGUGACAUGGCUCACAGGUAAAGGCUAAACUCGACCCAAGUUUCAAUCUCUAGAGCCCACAUGAUGGGAAGGACAGAUUGACACACAGUUGUCCUCUGGCCUCUGUGCAUGCAUGAAAAUAAUAAUGUCAUUUAAAAAAAACCUAAAAUACCUAUACUGAAAUUAAGCAUAUUGAUCAUCUUGAAGUGUGCAAUUCGUCUAUUCAAAUAAAUCUAAUAAUCUGCUGAAUUGCUGAGACUUGCUUUCUAUAAUGAGACUAUAUGCUAUCAUGAUCAUUUUUAUUUUGAGACUACAGUUAGCCUGAGGAAGUACCUGGGUUUAAAUAUCGGAGGGUUGGGGUUGGGG